RNAcentral lists this ribosomal RNA (497 nucleotides) under uncultured bacterium. RNAcentral describes it as "partial 16S ribosomal RNA". It matches the Rfam family "Bacterial small subunit ribosomal RNA", at positions 28 to 507 of the family's 1533-position model. The record is from RNAcentral.
GAUGAACGCUGGCGGCGUGCCUAAUACAUGCAAGUCGAGCGAACAGACGAGGAGCUUGCUCCUCUGACGUUAGCGGCGGACGGGUGAGUAACACGUGGAUAACCUACCUAUAAGACUGGGAUAACUUCGGGAAACCGGAGCUAAUACCGGAUAAUAUAUUGAACCGCAUGGUUCAAUAGUGAAAGACGGUUUUGCUGUCACUUAUAGAUGGAUCCGCGCCGCAUUAGCUAGUUGGUAAGGUAAAGGCUUACCAAGGCAACGAUGCGUAACCGACGUGAGAGAGUGAUAGGCCACAUGGGAACUGAGACACGGUCCUGGCUCCUACGGGAGGCAGCAGUAGGGAAUCGUCGGCAAUGGGCGAAAGUCUGACAGAGCAACGGCGCGUGAGUGAUGACGGUCUUCGGAUCGUAAAACUCUGUUAUUAGGUAAGAACAAAUGUGUAAGUAACUAUGCACGUCUUGACGGUACCGAAUCAGAAAGCCACGGCUAACUACGUG